RNAcentral lists this ribosomal RNA (407 nucleotides) under uncultured bacterium. RNAcentral describes it as "partial 16S ribosomal RNA". It matches the Rfam family "Bacterial small subunit ribosomal RNA", at positions 30 to 526 of the family's 1533-position model. The record is from RNAcentral.
AUUGAACGCUGGCGGCAGGCCUAACACAUGCAAGUCGAGCGGAGCGGCGGACGGGCGAGUAAUGCCUAGGAAUCUGACUGGUAGUGGGGGAUAACGUCCGGAAACGGGAGCUAAUACCGCAUACUAUCAGAUGAGCCGAGGGGGGAUUAGCUAGUUGGUGGGGUAAAGGCCUACCAAGGCGACGAUCCGGAACUGGUGUGAGAGGAUGAUCAGGCACCCUGGAACAUAGACACGGUCCUGACGCCUACGGGAGGCAGCAGUGGGGAAUUUUGGGCUAUGGGCGAAAGCCUGAUCCAGCCAUGCCGCGUGUGUGAAUAAGGUCUUCGGGUUGUAAAGUUCUUUAAGUUGGGCGGCGUUACCAACAGAAUAAGCACCGGCUAACUACGUGCCAGCAGCCGCGGUAAUUC